CUAUACAUGUUGUAAAUAAUAAAUGAUUUGAUCGAAGUGGACAUGUGGUGGAACUAUGCAUUAUUUCUACUUACAUUUUUUUUACAAUUUGCAGGGCUUGUGGCUGCUACUUUUUGCUACCUAAAGUUUUUCCCAUCUCCAUACGACACUGCUGGUUGUCAUUCAAGCUAUGCAUCAAAGUCAACGACGAGGAUCUUCUGAAGAUAUAAAGUGGAUGUUGUUCGUCAAUGAAUUUAUAGGAUAUGACUCAUGCGAGCACAACUCAUCAAUAGGAUUGAUAUUUUCUUUUUCACAAUAUAACAACCUUUUGAAAAACUAUUCCAAUGCAAAUUUAUAGUGCAUAUUAAAUAUAUAUGUUUAGUUAAUUUAAAUAUU
Erythranthe guttata (spotted monkey flower) is the source of this 375-nucleotide non-coding RNA. Lineage: Eukaryota; Viridiplantae; Streptophyta; Magnoliopsida; Lamiales; Phrymaceae. The record is from RefSeq and is a predicted model, not a curated record.